Taeniopygia guttata (zebra finch) is the source of this 1459-nucleotide non-coding RNA. The record is from RefSeq and is a predicted model, not a curated record. NCBI's taxonomy places the organism in Eukaryota, Metazoa, Chordata, Aves, Passeriformes, Estrildidae.
AAACACAAUGGCUGGCACCGUGGUGUGGAGAAAAAUAAAUGGCCCUGGCUCCUGUCUCAAGGGAAAAAAAAGCAUAACAAAAGGUUCACGGCCCAGCUCGAGCAAAAAAGAUGAGAACCUGGUUAAUCGCUGGUGUUGGUCCCCUCUUCACAGCAAAUUUGGUGUCCUUUCUCUUGCUGGAUCGGCUUUUCUGAGGUCUGGGGCCAGGAUCCAGGUCUCCUUCCCGCAGGUCCCUGGCCGACUCGUCUCCCAACGAUUUUUCUCUCUGAUCUCGGAUCUCGGACCAAAACCAAACUGUCAAAUUCAAGAAAGAAGCCGCUGAAGGAUUGCUCUUGCAAGUCUCCAAGGCCAGGGAAAGGCAAAAACCCCAAACUUCUUGCUUAAGCUAACAAAACCCAAUCUAGCUAAGCAAAAAAAAAAAAAAAAAAAAAAAAAAAAAAAAAAAAAAAAACCCAAAGAAACCCCCUUAAAAACCCAGUCUGCCCGGCAGGAAGGACACCUGGGAAGUGAGGCUUUUAAAAAGUCCACUCAGGAGCCCCAAGGCUUCCCCCUCCCCGGGACCUACCUUAAACCUGCAGCAACCAUUUCUGGGCAUAGAGCAGACAAUCAGGGAAUAGAAAAAACACCCUGAUAUAAAAUUUCAAUAGCCAAACUGAAUUUUAUUUCUAUAUCUUUUAUUUUAAAGAAAGCAAGCAAGCAGUGCUGGGUGGCUGAGGAGUCCCCACUCCACUCACGGCACACACCACUUGCAAGUUCACUAUCCCAAGGAACGCAUCCAUUUUCGACACAGCAGAUACAAGCAUUUGCUGAUUCAAUUGCCGAUUGACAUGAAUCACAAAAGCAUUUUUCACAACUCCAAGACAAUAAUGUACAGAAAGUGGACUGGCAGUCUAAUUGGAAACACCAUUGGACUGCCUUCUUGUGGAUAAGCAUUGUGAUAAAUAUAUUUCUGUGUUGUCUUUCGCAAUUGUUAGAAUGAAUACUAUGUGUUUUAUAAUGUUGACCUUUGUAAAAGAAGUUUUACUAAAGCUUAGAGUUCUUUUAAUCUGAUUGUUGUUUUGUGAUGCUAAUGUUGGUUGGCAGUUGUUGUAAUGUUAACAUUUAACCAGUGAAAGAAUCGAGGCCUGUUAAAUGUAUCUAAAAGUAGCAGAUGACCAGGACUAGGAUGAUUGCACAUGCUCUGAAGGGGAGGGAUGGAAGAGGAACUAUCUUAAAAUGUUUGAAUAUGUAUGACAGUUUAUGAAUAUGUAUUAAGCUGAUGCAAUAGCCAGGAUAUAUAAGGAGUGUUGCUUUGUUGACUGGUGUGCCUCUAGCUUUGGCUAAGCACCCAGUGGUGUUCCUUUUGUUUUUCUGACUGUCCCCUAUUGUCCUUUAUUAAAUUUUCUUUAAAUUUUAACUGAGGAGUGGGGUUUGUUUCUCACAAGCAUCCUACACUAAUAAAUCUUUUUAUCUGCUCUGA